GUGUGUGUGUGAGAGUGUGAGAGUGUGUGAGAGUGUGUGUGAGUGUGUGUGAGAGUGUGUGUGUGUGUGAGAGUGUGAGAGUGUGUGUGAGUGUGUGUGAGUGUGUGUGAGUGUGUGUGAGAGUGUGUGUGUGUGAGUGUGUGUGUGUGUGUGUGUGAGAGAGUGUGUGAGAGAGUGUGUGUGAGUGUGUGUGUGAGUGUGUGUGAGAGUGUGUGUGAGUGUGUGAGAGAGUGUGUGAGAGAGUGUGUGUGAGUGUGUGUGAGAGUGUGUGAGUGUGUGUGAGUGUGUGUGUGUGUGUGUGUGUGAGAGUGUGUGUGAGAGUGUGUGUGUGAGAGUGUGUGUGAGAGUGUGUGAGAUGUGUUGUGAGUGUGUGUGAGAGUGUGUGUGAGAGUGUGUGUGUGAGAGUGUGUGUGAGAGUGUGUGUGAGAGUGUGUGAGAGUGUGUGAGUGUGUGAGAGUGUGUGAGAGUGUGUGAGAGUGUGUGUGAGAGAGUGUGAGAGAGUGUGUGAGAGAGUGUGUGUGUGAGUGUGUUUGAGAGUGUGUGUGAGAGUGUGUGAGAGAGUGUGUGUGAGAGUGUGUGAGAGAGUGUGUGUGAGAGUGUGUGUGAGAGUGUGUGAGAGUGUGUGUGAGAGUGUGUGAGAGUGUGUGUGAG
Ictalurus punctatus (channel catfish) is the source of this 651-nucleotide long non-coding RNA. Lineage: Eukaryota; Metazoa; Chordata; Actinopteri; Siluriformes; Ictaluridae. The record is from Ensembl.